GGUUACGGGGUGGCCGUUUUUCUGCGUGGACCAAGCAGGGUCCCAGUUCAAGUUUCUGCUGCGUAUCUGAUAAUCUUGAGGUAUUUAUGAAGGACUCCUUUGAAAGUUCUCUACUGAGUUUCCUUAAGGAAUUGGAAUAUUAUUCAAUCCAGGUUUAAGUCCUUCAGCAUCUGACAUUCUCCUGGCAACUGUAAUUGAAUCAAUGAUGACUCAUCUGAGAUGAGCAAGUUGGUCCAGUCAGACCAAACAAAAGACAUUCUAUAAUCAGGGGAGAAGUCUUCUCUAUAUCUCUCUUAUAUGAGCAAAUUUAAUGACCUCCACCAUCUCUAAGAACAAGCAGCUAUUUCUGUAGAGAAAGAUCGUCUUUGGAUAACAAUACAUGAUUUUAGGCUCCAAAAGUUAAAACGUGUUUGUAAUGUUGAUAUUAUGCAGAGGUCUUGACAGAACUUGGCAGUCUCUGAGGCUACAGAGAAGUGUGAAAAAGAGCAUAGAGAUUUCAGAAGGAGGCAGAUUCAGUCAGACGUACUGAAUCCCGUUUGAUCUCAACUCAGGCACACUCCAGAUGGAC
This 568-nucleotide non-coding RNA is filed under the name Pan troglodytes (chimpanzee). Lineage: Eukaryota; Metazoa; Chordata; Mammalia; Primates; Hominidae. The record is from RNAcentral.